CCUACGGGGGACAGCAGUGAGGAAUAUUGGUCAAUGGGCGUAAGCCUGAACCAGCCAAGUCGCGUGAGGGAUGAAGGUUCUAUGGAUCGUAAACCUCUUUUAUAAGGGAAUAAAGUGUGGGACGUGUCCUAUUUUGUAUGUACCUUAUGAAUAAGGAUCGGCUAACUCCGUGCCAGCAGCCGCGGUAAUACGGAGGAUCCGAGCUUUAUCCGGAUUUAUUGGGUUUAAAGGGUGCGUAGGCGGCCUUUUAAGUCAGCGGUGAAAGUCUGUGGCUCAACCGUAGAAUUGCCGUUGAAACUGGGGGGCUUGAGAAUGUAUGAGGCAGGCGGAAUGCGUUGUGUAGCGGUGAAAUGCUUAGAUAUCACGCAGAACCCCGAUUGCGAAGGCAGCCUGCCAAGCCAUGACUGACGCUGAUGCACGAAAGCGUGGGGAUCAAACAGGAUUAGAUACCCGAGUAGUC
RNAcentral lists this ribosomal RNA (460 nucleotides) under uncultured bacterium. RNAcentral's name for it is "partial 16S ribosomal RNA". It matches the Rfam family "Bacterial small subunit ribosomal RNA", at positions 338 to 795 of the family's 1533-position model. The record is from RNAcentral.